UGGGGAGUAAGCAAAAAGGAUGGAACAAGAAGCCAAAAUGAUGCUCUGAAAUUUUGCUCCUUCCUUUCAAUUGUUGCCAUUUCGAGGAGGAGAGAGAGGUCAAGUAAAGCUUUCUCAUUAACCGUUAAGAGCAGUGAUUAAAAUUUCCUUCUUGAAGAAUUAGUUGUGGUAGAAUAACAGAGAACAUACAUCCAGAGGAGCCUACAAGACAUUUUGAGGGGAUACUGGACUCCUCCUUCUUUGUGUGACAUAGAGGAGAAUGGGUGAUUCCAGAUUAGAGAAUUUGGAGACCACAGGACCACACAAAGUGGCUUCCCAGCCUGCAUUGCAGUGUUCCCAGCAGUCUUGACUCUCUGAUCCUUGCUUUGUAAUCACUGGAUCACACCUAAGGUGAGUCUUCCUAAACUCUGCAGGUGACU
This 419-nucleotide long non-coding RNA is filed under the name Capra hircus (goat). Its description in RNAcentral is "lncRNA (ENSCHIG00000003731.1)". The record is from RNAcentral. Lineage: Eukaryota; Metazoa; Chordata; Mammalia; Artiodactyla; Bovidae.